RNAcentral lists this unclassified non-coding RNA (242 nucleotides) under Hevea brasiliensis (rubber tree). The record is from RNAcentral. Lineage: Eukaryota; Viridiplantae; Streptophyta; Magnoliopsida; Malpighiales; Euphorbiaceae.
ACUUGCUGCACGUCAACCUGGAAGAGCUUUUCUAGAAGCUGCAAAUUGAAGUUGCAGAAUUUACAAAUCUGUACCUUUAGCUUUCUACUUCCGCUGAAUGAAAUUUUGUGUCUUGAUCUUCUAUCUAGUUCUGAACCAUUAUAUAAGUUGUUACCGCUCUGAACGUUUACCUUUUCAGAGUAUAAUUAUUGGCUUUUAUUUUAAUGAUGAUAAGUUUUAUUUUACAUUUUGCUGUCCUUGGA